RNAcentral lists this ribosomal RNA (497 nucleotides) under uncultured bacterium. RNAcentral describes it as "partial 16S ribosomal RNA". It matches the Rfam family "Bacterial small subunit ribosomal RNA", at positions 28 to 507 of the family's 1533-position model. The record is from RNAcentral.
GAUGAACGCUGGCGGCGUGCUUAAUACAUGCAAGUCGAGCGGACGGACGAGAAUGUUGCAUCGCUGAUGUGAGGGGCGGGCGGGUGAGUAACACGUGAAUAACCUACCUAAAAGACUGGGAAGACGUAGGGAAACCGGAACUAAUACCAGAGGAUAUUUUGAACCGGGUGGUUCAAAAGUGAAAGACGGUCGUGCUGUGACUUGUAGAUGGAUCCGCGCUUCAUUAGCUAGUUGGUAAGGUAAUGGCUGACCAAGGCAACGAUGAAUAGCCGACCUGAGAGAGAGAUCUACCCCACCGGAGCUGGUACACGGACCCGAGUCGUCCGGGAGGCAGCAGUAGCGAAUCUUCGGCGCUGGGGGGAAGCAUAGCGGAGCAACGCCGCGUGAGUGAUGAAGGUCUUCGGAUCGUAAGAAUCUGUUUUUCGGGAAGAACAUAUGUGUCAGUAGCUGAGAAGAACGUGACGGUACCUGAACAGAAAGCCACGGCUAACUACGUG